Molecule: ribosomal RNA, 497 nt
Filed under: uncultured bacterium
Lineage: Bacteria
Description: partial 16S ribosomal RNA
Rfam family: Bacterial small subunit ribosomal RNA
Source: RNAcentral
GAUGAACGCUGGCGGCGUGCCUAAUACAUGCAAGUCGAGCGAACGGACGAGAAGCUUGCUUCUCUGAUGUUAGCGGCGGACGGGUGAGUAACACGUGGAUAACCUACCUAUAAGACUGGGAUAACUUCGGGAAACCGGAGCUAAUACCGGAUAAUAUUUUGAACCGCAUGGUUCAAAAGUGAAAGACGGUCUUGCUGUCACUUAUAGAUGGAUCCGCGCUGCAUUAGCUAGUUGGUAAGGUAACGGCUUACCAAGGCAACGAUGCAUAGCCGACCUGAGAGGGGGGUCGGCCACACGGGAACUGAGACACGGUCCAGACUCCUACGGGAGGCAGCAGUAGGGAAUCUUCCGCAAUGGGCGAAAGCCUGACGGAGCAACGCCGCGUGAGUGAUGAAGGUCUUCGGAGCGUAAAACUCUGUUAUUAGGGAAGAACAUAUGUGUAAGUAACUGUGCACAUCUUGACGGUACCUAAUCAGAAAGCCACGGCUAACUACGUG